This 1332-nucleotide ribosomal RNA is filed under the name Mycobacterium tuberculosis. RNAcentral's name for it is "bacterial LSU rRNA". It matches the Rfam family "Bacterial large subunit ribosomal RNA", at positions 1614 to 2925 of the family's 2925-position model. Lineage: Bacteria; Bacillati; Actinomycetota; Actinomycetes; Mycobacteriales; Mycobacteriaceae. The record is from RNAcentral.
AAAGCCUCUAGCGAGCACACACACGGCCCGUACCCCAAACCGACACAGGUGGUCAGGUAGAGCAUACCAAGGCGUACGAGAUAACUAUGGUUAAGGAACUCGGCAAAAUGCCCCCGUAACUUCGGGAGAAGGGGGACCGGAAUAUCGUGAACACCCUUGCGGUGGGAGCGGGAUCCGGUCGCAGAAACCAGUGAGGAGCGACUGUUUACUAAAAACACAGGUCCGUGCGAAGUCGCAAGACGAUGUAUACGGACUGACGCCUGCCCGGUGCUGGAAGGUUAAGAGGACCCGUUAACCCGCAAGGGUGAAGCGGAGAAUUUAAGCCCCAGUAAACGGCGGUGGUAACUAUAACCAUCCUAAGGUAGCGAAAUUCCUUGUCGGGUAAGUUCCGACCUGCACGAAUGGCGUAACGACUUCUCAACUGUCUCAACCAUAGACUCGGCGAAAUUGCACUACGAGUAAAGAUGCUCGUUACGCGCGGCAGGACGAAAAGACCCCGGGACCUUCACUACAACUUGGUAUUGAUGUUCGGUACGGUUUGUGUAGGAUAGGUGGGAGACUGUGAAACCUCGACGCCAGUUGGGGCGGAGUCGUUGUUGAAAUACCACUCUGAUCGUAUUGGGCAUCUAACCUCGAACCCUGAAUCGGGUUUAGGGACAGUGCCUGGCGGGUAGUUUAACUGGGGCGGUUGCCUCCUAAAAUGUAACGGAGGCGCCCAAAGGUUCCCUCAACCUGGACGGCAAUCAGGUGGCGAGUGUAAAUGCACAAGGGAGCUUGACUGCGAGACUUACAAGUCAAGCAGGGACGAAAGUCGGGAUUAGUGAUCCGGCACCCCCGAGUGGAAGGGGUGUCGCUCAACGGAUAAAAGGUACCCCGGGGAUAACAGGCUGAUCUUCCCCAAGAGUCCAUAUCGACGGGAUGGUUUGGCACCUCGAUGUCGGCUCGUCGCAUCCUGGGGCUGGAGCAGGUCCCAAGGGUUGGGCUGUUCGCCCAUUAAAGCGGCACGCGAGCUGGGUUUAGAACGUCGUGAGACAGUUCGGUCUCUAUCCGCCGCGCGCGUCAGAAACUUGAGGAAACCUGUCCCUAGUACGAGAGGACCGGGACGGACGAACCUCUGGUGCACCAGUUGUCCCGCCAGGGGCACCGCUGGAUAGCCACGUUCGGUCAGGAUAACCGCUGAAAGCAUCUAAGCGGGAAACCUUCUCCAAGAUCAGGUUUCUCACCCACUUGGUGGGAUAAGGCCCCCCGCAGAACACGGGUUCAAUAGGUCAGACCUGGAAGCUCAGUAAUGGGUGUAGGGAACUGGUGCUAACCGGCCGAAAACUUACAACA